RNAcentral lists this ribosomal RNA (492 nucleotides) under uncultured bacterium. Its description in RNAcentral is "partial 16S ribosomal RNA". It matches the Rfam family "Bacterial small subunit ribosomal RNA", at positions 29 to 507 of the family's 1533-position model. The record is from RNAcentral.
AGUGAACGCUGGCGGUAGGCCUAACACAUGCAAGUCGAACGGCAGCACAGUAAGCGCUUGCCCUUACGGGUGGCGAGUGGCGGACGGGUGAGGAAUACAUCGGCAUCUACUUUUUCGUGGGGGAUAACGUAGGGAAACUUACGCUACUACCGCAUACGACCUACGGGUGAAAGCAGGGGAUCUUCGGACCUUGCGCGAUUGAAUGAGCCGAUGUCGGAUUAGCUAGUUGGCGUGGUAAAGGCCCACCAAGGCGACGAUCCGUAGCUGGUCUGAGAGGAUGAUCAGCCACACUGGAACUGAGACACGGUCCAGACUCCUACGGGAGGCAGCAGUAGGGAAUAUUGGACAAUGGGCGCAAGCCUGAUCCAGCCAUACCGCGUGAGUGAAGAAGGCCUUCGGGUUGUAAAGCUCUGUUGUUAGGAAAGAAAAGCAGCAGGUGUAUACCCCGCUGUUCUGACGGUACCCAAAGAAUAAGCACCGGCUAACUUCGUG